Molecule: ribosomal RNA, 464 nt
Filed under: uncultured bacterium
Lineage: Bacteria
Description: partial 16S ribosomal RNA
Rfam family: Bacterial small subunit ribosomal RNA
Source: RNAcentral
ACGCACGCUGGCGGCGUGCUUCACCCAUGCCAGUCGCACGGUGAACUCCGCUUGCGGGGGGAUCAGUGGCGAACGGGUGAGUAACACGUGGGCAACCUGCCCUCAGCUCUGGGAUAACUCCAAGAAAUUGGGGCUAAUACCGGAUAUGACCGCUGACCGCAUGGUCUGGUGGUGGAAAGAUUUAUCGGCUGGGGAUGGGCCCGCGGCCUAUCAGCUUGUUGGUGGGGUAGUGGCCUACCAAGGCGACGACGGGUAGCCGGCCUGAGAGGGUGACCGGCCACACUGGGACUGAGACACGGCCCAGACUCCUACGGGAGGCAGCAGUGGGGAAUAUUGCGCAAUGGGCGAAAGCCUGACGCAGCGACGCCGCGUGGGGGAUGACGGCCUUCGGGUUGUAAACCUCUUUCAGCAGGGACGAAGCGAAAGUGACGGUACCUGCAGAAGAAGCACCGGCCAACUACGUG